This 84-nucleotide transfer RNA is filed under the name Sulfurovum sp. PC08-66. RNAcentral's name for it is "tRNA-Leu". It matches the Rfam family "tRNA". From Rfam's summary of the family: Transfer RNA (tRNA) molecules are approximately 80 nucleotides in length. Lineage: Bacteria; Pseudomonadati; Campylobacterota; Epsilonproteobacteria; Campylobacterales; Sulfurovaceae. RNAcentral also lists the same sequence under 1 other name. The record is from RNAcentral.
GCGGACGUGGUGGAACGGUAGACACGCUAUCUUGAGGGGGUAGUGCCAACAGGUGUGGGGGUUCAAAUCCCCCCGUCCGCACCA